UCCCAUGGCCAUACCACUCUGAGAGCGCCCGGUCUCAUCUGAUCUUGGAAUCUAAGCCAGGUCGGGCCCGGUUAAUACUUGGAUGGGAGACCGCCUGGGAAUACCGUGUGCUGUAGGCU
This 119-nucleotide ribosomal RNA is filed under the name Taeniopygia guttata (zebra finch). Lineage: Eukaryota; Metazoa; Chordata; Aves; Passeriformes; Estrildidae. The record is from RNAcentral.